AACCCGACUCCGUGAAGCUGGAUUCGCUAGUAAUCGCGCAUCAGCCAUGGCGCGGUGAAUACGUUCCCGGGCCUUGUACACACCGCCCGUCAAGCCAUGGGAGCCGGGAGUGCCUGAAGGCCGUGACCGCAAGGAGCGGCCUAAGGUAAAACUGGUGACUGGGGCUAAGUCGUAACAAGGUAGC
This 184-nucleotide ribosomal RNA is filed under the name uncultured bacterium. RNAcentral's name for it is "partial 16S ribosomal RNA". It matches the Rfam family "Bacterial small subunit ribosomal RNA", at positions 1309 to 1500 of the family's 1533-position model. The record is from RNAcentral.